UGAACGCUGGCGGCAGGCCUAACACAUGCAAGUCGAGCGGAUGACAGGAGCUUGCUCCUGAAUUCAGCGGCGGACGGGUGAGUAAUGCCUAGGAAUCUGCCUGGUAGUGGGGGACAACGUUUCGAAAGGAACGCUAAUACCGCAUACGUCCUACGGGAGAAAGCAGGGGACCUUCGGGCCUUGCGCUAUCAGAUGAGCCUAGGUCGGAUUAGCUAGUUGGUGAGGUAAUGGCUCACCAAGGCGACGAUCCGUAACUGGUCUGAGAGGAUGAUCAGUCACACUGGAACUGAGACACGGUCCAGACUCCUACGGGAGGCAGCAGUGGGGAAUAUUGGACAAUGGGCGAAAGCCUGAUCCAGCCAUGCCGCGUGUGUGAAGAAGGUCUUCGGAUUGUAAAGCACCUUAAGUUGGGAGGAAGGGCAUUAACCUAAUACGUUAGUGUUUUGACGUUACCGACAGAAUAAGCACCGGCUAACUCUGU
This 481-nucleotide ribosomal RNA is filed under the name uncultured Pseudomonas sp. Its description in RNAcentral is "bacterial SSU rRNA". It matches the Rfam family "Bacterial small subunit ribosomal RNA", at positions 30 to 506 of the family's 1533-position model. Lineage: Bacteria; Pseudomonadati; Pseudomonadota; Gammaproteobacteria; Pseudomonadales; Pseudomonadaceae. The record is from RNAcentral.